Molecule: long non-coding RNA, 2292 nt
Organism: Octopus sinensis (East Asian common octopus)
Lineage: Eukaryota; Metazoa; Mollusca; Cephalopoda; Octopoda; Octopodidae
Exons: 2
Source: RefSeq, a predicted model, not a curated record
GCAACAUUUUGUCCGUCUUUACAUUCUGAGCUCAAAUUCUGCCAAGCUCAACUUUACCUUUCAUUUCUUUGGUGACUGAUAAAAUAAGCAACACUCAUGUACUAGGGUCAGUGUAAUCAACUCAUUUUCUCCCUCCCUUCAAAAACAGCUGGCCUUGUGCCAAAAUUUGAAGCCAUCAUUAUUAUCAUUGUGUUGGUGAAAUUCCAGUGUAUGAGUGAAUAUAGUUAUGUUCUUUUACAUUUUUUUUUUAUUACAACCCCUGCCAGAGCCGACUUUUGCCUUUCACUGUUCUCAGUUGAUAAAAGCAAUACCAGCCAAGUACUGGGGGCCAUUUAAACUGACUACUGACCUAUCCCCUUCAAUUUCUGGUUUUGUGCCAAUGAUAAUAGCAUAAUUACUAGCAUAGUUAAAAAAAACAAGCCUUGCAGUAUUUGUUCUGGCUCUAUGAUUUAAAUCCAGAUCCUACCAAGGUCAGCUUUGCCUUUCAUUCAUACAGGAUCGAUAAAAUAAAGUGCCAGUCAAGUACUGGCAGCAAUAUCUCAACUUCCUACCCUCAAAAGUGCUGGCCUUGUGCAGGCUUUAUUAGGGUAGUGGUUGAUUGGCAAAUCAUUACAAUAUUGGGCAAAAUGUCUUGCAGUGUUUGUUUUGGCUCUUUAUGUUCUGAGUUCAAAUCCUAUCAAAGUCAACUUUGCCUUUCAUCUUUCUGAAGUCAAUGAAAUAAAAAUACCAACCAUUUACUUGGGGUCAAUUUAAUUGACUAACCUACUUCCUCAAAAUUUCUGUAUUUAUGUUAGAAAUGAUUGUUAUGAUUCCGGUGAAUUAUCAGAAACAGUUGUGUCUCACUCUAAAUACCUUGAUGUAUUUAGUUACAGUUCUAAAUGUUUUCAAUUAAAAUUAGGGGGCCAAAUGUAAUGAUGUGUAGAAGGGUGGAAGGUUGAUAAAAUAAGAAACAGGUAUUUACUGGCAUUGAUUCAAUUGAUUACACCCUCUUUUCUUUUAGUUUUGUGAAUCAGCAAAAUAAAUACCAGUAACAGUUUGUGAUCAACUCAAGUAGCCAUUAAUUCUAUCCUACAAAAACUGGUUUUGUACCUAAAAGAAAUCUAUUAAGGGUAAUGGAUUGGCAAAGUCAUUAGCACAUCAGACAAAAUGUUUAGUGGCAUUUCUUCUAGCUUUAUUUUCUGAGUUCUAAUGCCACUAAAGUUGACUUUACCUUUCAUUUUUUCAGGGUCAAUAAAAUAAAGUACCAGUCAAGUACUGGGGGUGGAUGUAAUCGACUAAUCCCUUCCCCCAAAAUUUUAGGCCUUGUGCAUAUAGUAGAAAGGAUUAUUAUUAUUGUGUUCAAUACAUUGAGAUCAUUUUAGCCCCAUCAUCUAUCAGGGUUCAGUAAAAAAAUUAUGUGAUAUAUAGUAGGCGAAGGUCAGUUGCCUUUUUGUUGAUUGACAACACAACCACAACUUUCCUCUGAAAAUUACUAAUUUGUGCCAAUGUAAGAAACAUUCAUUAUUAUUUGAGCAAACUUGUUAGAGUGUUAAGAAAAUGCUCCAUGGCAUUUUUUCUAGCUGGCAUUCUGGGUUCAAAUCCUGUCAAUGUCAACUUUGCCUUUCAUCCUUUUAGAAGUCAAAAAGUGAAGUACCAGUCAAGAAAUGGGGUUAAUAUAAUCAAAAUUGCUGGCCUUGUACCUAAAUUAGAAACAAUUUUUAUUAUCUUAAUUCUAUUUGUGAUGGUGAACAUGAUCAAUAAUUUACUAUUUCUACUCUCGAAUAAUUCUUACAUUAAUGGCUAAUUAAACAAAUUACAUCCUCAUUAUUGUGGUCAGUGGCAGAGUGCCAAGUAAUCCAAGUCUUCGACUUGAUUUCAAUUCUGUUAUAGGACCAUUUCUCUUUGCUCACUAGCAUUUUUGUGAAAACCAUUUACAGCACAUUAUCACAGUUCUCCUCUAAUAAUUCUGAGGCUUCACACACAUUUGGAAAAUAAUCAUCAUCAUUUAUUGUUGAGCUGGCAGAGAUGGUACAGUGCCGGACCAAAUGCCCUGUGGUAUUUAGUUAUGUUCCUUCAUGUUUUGAAUUCAAAUCCUGCUGGGUUUGACAUCGCUUUUCAUCCUUCUGGACUCAAUAAAAAUGGGUACCAGCUUUGUACAGGGGUUCAAUUCAAUUGACUAUUGUACUCCUACAAUUUGUGGCCUUGUGCCAAUGUAUGAAAUCAUUAUUAUUAUUGAAAAAAAAAAAGUUAAAUCUUUAAUUCUGUAUCAUAAACAUGUAUAAAUUGGUGUAUAUAAAUAAGCUAGUUCAUAGC